ACGGGUGAGUAAUGUCUGGGAAACUGCCUGAUGAAGGGGGAUAACUACUGGAAACGGUAGCUAAUACCGCAUAACGUCGCAAGACCAAAGAGGGGGACCUUCGGGCCUCUUGCCAUCAGAUGUGCCCAGAUGGGAUUAGCUAGUAGGUGGGGUAACGGCUCACCUAGGCGACGAUCCCUAGCUGGUCUGAGAGGAUGACCAGCCACACUGGAACUGAGACACGGUCCAGACUCCUACGGGAGGCAGCAGUGGGGAAUAUUGCACAAUGGGCGCAAGCCUGAUGCAGCCAUGCCGCGUGUAUGAAGAAGGCCUUCGGGUUGUAAAGUACUUUCAGCGGGGAGGAAGGUGUUGUGGUUAAUAACCACAGCAAUUGACGUUACCCGCAGAAGAAGCACCGGCUAACUCCGUGCCAGCAGCCGCGGUAAUACGGAGGGUGCAAGCGUUAAUCGGAAUUACUGGGCGUAAAGCGCACGCAGGCGGUCUGUCAAGUCGGAUGUGAAAUCCCCGGGCUCAACCUGGGAACUGCAUUCGAAACUGGCAGGCUAGAGUCUUGUAGAGGGGGGUAGAAUUCCAGGUGUAGC
This 581-nucleotide ribosomal RNA is filed under the name uncultured bacterium. RNAcentral's name for it is "bacterial SSU rRNA". It matches the Rfam family "Bacterial small subunit ribosomal RNA", at positions 102 to 679 of the family's 1533-position model. The record is from RNAcentral.